Molecule: non-coding RNA, 136 nt
Filed under: Palpitomonas bilix
Lineage: Eukaryota
Source: RNAcentral
CAAACACACAUGAUGCAAACCCCAAAUAUAACCCGCAGAAAAAGAGCUGCGCAUUUUGCUUUACAGUGUGAGGUUUCGUUGAAAAAAGACGACAAUCGAAAGCCCCCUUUCCCUCACACUCACAAAGGACAAGCAU